UUCAUAGAGUGUAAAGGCAUAAGGGAGCUUGACUGCGAGACCUACAAGUCGAGCAGGGUCGAAAGACGGACUUAGUGAUCCGGUGGUUCCGCAUGGAAGGGCCAUCGCUCAACGGAUAAAAGCUACCCCGGGGAUAACAGGCUUAUCUCCCCCAAGAGUUCACAUCGACGGGGAGGUUUGGCACCUCGAUGUCGGCUCAUCGCAUCCUGGGGCUGUAGUCGGUCCCAAGGGUUGGGCUGUUCGCCCAUUAAAGCGGUACGCGAGCUGGGUUCAGAACGUCGUGAGACAGUUCGGUCCCUAUCCGUCGUGGGCGUAGGAAAUUUGAGAGGAGCUGUCCUUAGUACGAGAGGACCGGGAUGGACAUACCUCUGGUGUACCAGUUGUCGUGCCAACGGCAUAGCUGGGUAGCUAUGUGUGGACGGGAUAAGUGCUGAAAGCAUCUAAGCAUGAAGCCCCCCUCAAGAUGAGAUU
RNAcentral lists this ribosomal RNA (471 nucleotides) under Staphylococcus aureus. RNAcentral describes it as "partial 23S ribosomal RNA". It matches the Rfam family "Bacterial large subunit ribosomal RNA", at positions 2341 to 2811 of the family's 2925-position model. The record is from RNAcentral. Lineage: Bacteria; Bacillati; Bacillota; Bacilli; Caryophanales; Staphylococcaceae.